CACGUAGGGGGCGAGCGUUGUCCGGAUUCAUUGGGCGUAAAGGGCGCGCAGGCGGCCCGGCAAGUCGGAUGUGAAAACUCGGGGCUCAACCCCGAGCGUGCACCCGAUACUGCCGGGCUUGAGGCAGGUAGGGGAGAUCGGAAUUCCUGGUGUAGCGGUGAAAUGCGCAGAUAUCGGGAGGAACACCUAUGGCGAAGGCAGCUCGCUGGGACGUUACUGACGCUGAGACGCGAAAGCGUGGGGAGCAAACAGG
Molecule: ribosomal RNA, 253 nt
Filed under: uncultured bacterium
Lineage: Bacteria
Description: partial 16S ribosomal RNA
Rfam family: Bacterial small subunit ribosomal RNA
Source: RNAcentral